This 39-nucleotide transfer RNA is filed under the name Eccremocarpus scaber. Its description in RNAcentral is "partial tRNA-Phe". The record is from RNAcentral. Lineage: Eukaryota; Viridiplantae; Streptophyta; Magnoliopsida; Lamiales; Bignoniaceae. RNAcentral also lists the same sequence under 1 other name.
GUCGGAUAGCUCAGCUGGUAGAGCAGAGGACUGAAAAUC